Molecule: long non-coding RNA, 1468 nt
Filed under: Oreochromis niloticus (Nile tilapia)
Lineage: Eukaryota; Metazoa; Chordata; Actinopteri; Cichliformes; Cichlidae
Description: lncRNA (ENSONIG00000036626.1)
Source: RNAcentral
UUUUUUUCCCAAGAAGUGUUUGAAGAACCCACAAGAGCCUGGGAAUGGCUGGGGGUGAGCUAGGCCUAGAUGGCAGACGGCACCUGUGAGGGAACCUCAAACCUGAGGGGCCCUGGGGCGCCUGGUGGUGUGCUCAUGCUAAAGGAGGAGCGUAAGCAUCUGCAAACCCAGCGGAGUCUGACCAUAUUGUACCUGCACUCGGCUUUAUCCUGCUUAUUUUUGUCAAAAGCUCAAAGCAGUGAGUUUCAGACAGCCGUGUAAGGCAUCUGAUCUGUAUGUGUGUGAAGCUUUGGUUGUCUGUGUGCAUGCGUUAAAGGAAGAGAGCUAGUAGGAACAGAUGUGGGGAAAGUCAGUAAAAAAAAAAAAAACUCAAUAUGAACCCUGCAGAGGCCUUCCUUUCUCUCUGUUCAAUUAUUUAGAGUCAAAGAAAAGAGGCAGGAGUAACAUAUUUCCUCAGAAGCCACUGUGUUCGGCGGGAAUGAAUAACAUAUUUAUCUAGUCUCAUCUUUGCCAAAUAGCCGGAAAUGGAAACAAAUACCUUCAAUUGGAUUCUUGGCUCUGGUGUUUUCCUUGAGCUGCCGCUAUGUGUACUCAUGCAGUCAUAUUGAAAAAUUCCUCAGGACCAAAAAAUUAUGGAAGUGCUGACAAGUAGAAUUUUUCAUAGUAUCUAGAUGUACACUUGGCAGUUACAGGCAAAGCUUAUCUGCUCCCAUCUCCUGUGAUGGGAGGAGGAGGGAGAGAGAGAGAGAGUGGGAGAUAGAGAGAGGGAGGAGGAAAAAGUGUUCACCUAUUUAAUUUGAUUAGAGAUUAGAAGAGGAAAAGAGUCACAUUUCCUCCCUGGCACGUCUCUACUUGGCGCACUCUGACACCUGAUUUUAUAAAGAGAUGUCACAGCCAAGCACGGCGGUAAUGCCGGUAAUUACUCUGAACUCAAAUAAAUAAAUAAAUUUGCUUUUCUUUGUGAGAGUCUGACAGGUUUUCCAACAUCCUUGACUGGAAAAAAAAAAUGCAGUGCAUGUGCGCAAGUAGGCGUGCGCUUUUUUUGCGGUUGUUUAUUUGGAUGUGUGUCUUUGUGUGGGUGUGUGCUUGUGUUUACAUAUAGUGAGGCACUUGUAAAGGAGAAACUCAGACAGGAUGAAAAUUUUGACAGCUACAGUAUAGCUUGUUUUCUCUUCUCUUCUUCUGUUUUUUUUUUUUUUUUUGACUGUGAUAAUCUGCUGAGCCGUGCGCGCUGAAGGCAAACCUCCGUUUGAGACUGAUAAGGUUCGAGAUACAGCUUUGUAAAUAAUAAGGUUAGAGUUUCUGCACAGUUGCUAGUGCCUCGGCUGAUCUCGCUCCUAUUAGUGACAAUUGGCUUUGACCUCACCUGCUCACCCAUGCUGUCGUCACCGAGGGUGUAUCUGCAGCAGCAGGCUAUUAGAUCAUCCACUCUGGUCAUAGAAGGAGACAUCCAGACAAACGCUGCACU